AUUCUAACGCGAAGAGUAACGAACUUGCGAACCAUCUCAGGUAGGCGGUUUGACUGGGGCGGUCGCCUCCGAAAGAGUAACGGAGGCGCCCAAAGGUUCCCUCAGGUCGGACAGAAACCGACCGAAGAGUGCAAAGGCAGAAGGGAGCUUGACUGCGAGACAGACAAGUCGAGCAGAGACGAAAGUCGGGCUUAGUGAUCCGGUGGUACUGAGUGGAAAGGCCAUCGCUCAACGGAUAAAAGCUACCCUGGGGAUAACAGGCUAAUCUCUCCCAAGAGUUCAUAUCGACGGGGAGGUUUGGCACCUCGAUGUCGGCUCAUCACAUCCUGGGGCUGGAGUAGGUCCCAAGGGUUGGGCUGUUCGCCCAUUAAAGUGGUACGCGAGCUGGGUUCAAAACGUCGUGAGACAGUUUGGUUCAUAUCCAUCGCGGGCGCAAGAAGUUUGAGGGAAGCUGCUCUUAGUACGAGAGGACCGGAGUGGACGGAUCAACGGUGUACCGGUUGUCACGCCAGUGGCACGGCCGGAAAGCCGCAUCCGGGAAGGAUAAACGCUGAAAGCAUCUAAGCGUGAAGCCAAUCCCAAGAUGAGACUUCUCAUCAGCAAUGAGUAAGACCCCUUAAAGACGAUGAGGUAGAUAGGCUGUGAGUGGAAGAGUUGCAAGACUUGGAGCGACACAGUACUAAUAGGUCGAGGUCUUAACUUA
RNAcentral lists this non-coding RNA (703 nucleotides) under Fannyhessea vaginae. Its description in RNAcentral is "partial 23S ribosomal RNA". It matches the Rfam family "Bacterial large subunit ribosomal RNA", at positions 2219 to 2925 of the family's 2925-position model. Lineage: Bacteria; Bacillati; Actinomycetota; Coriobacteriia; Coriobacteriales; Atopobiaceae. The record is from RNAcentral. RNAcentral also lists the same sequence under 1 other name.